GCUGUGAUCGUAUAGUGGUUAGUACUUCACGCUGUGGCCGUGACAACCCAGGUUCGAAUCCUGGUCACAGCA
Molecule: non-coding RNA, 72 nt
Organism: Ciona savignyi (Pacific transparent sea squirt)
Lineage: Eukaryota; Metazoa; Chordata; Ascidiacea; Phlebobranchia; Cionidae
Source: Rfam